RNAcentral lists this ribosomal RNA (484 nucleotides) under uncultured bacterium. RNAcentral's name for it is "partial 16S ribosomal RNA". It matches the Rfam family "Bacterial small subunit ribosomal RNA", at positions 29 to 507 of the family's 1533-position model. The record is from RNAcentral.
AUUGAACGCUGGCGGCAUGCUUUACACAUGCAAGUCGAACGGCAGCGCGGGCUUCGGCCUGGCGGCGAGUGGCGAACGGGUGAGUAAUACAUCGGAACGUGCCCAGUAGUGGGGGAUAGCUCGGCGAAAGCCGGAUUAAUACCGCAUACGACCUGAGGGUGAAAGCGGGGGAUCUUCGGACCUCGCGCUAUUGGAGCGGCCGAUGGCAGAUUAGCUAGUUGGUGGGGUAAAGGCCUACCAAGGCGACGAUCUGUAGCUGGUCUGAGAGGACGACCAGCCACACUGGGACUGAGACACGGACCAGACUCCUACGGGAGGCAGCAGUGGGGAAUUUUGGACAAUGGGCGAAAGCCUGAUCCAGCAAUGCCGCGUGUGUGAUGAAGGCCUUCGGGUUGUAAAGCACUUUUGGCGGGAACGAAAAGGACUGUGCCAAUACCACGGUUCGAUGACGGUACCCGCAGAAUAAGCACCGGCUAACUACGUG